AAAGCUUAAAGAGAGAUGUCUGGGGCAAAGGGAAUAGAAUAAACAGAGGCAUGGAACAAGAAGCAGAAGGUGGCCUGUCUUAGGCCAGUGAGCAGCCAGCACGUGUGACAGGCUUGGGCUGAAGCAGGCAUGGAAAAGAGACAGGGAGAUUCUAAUGAAGUCAUCAGAGGUCAUGGGCUGGCAGGAACAAUAGCUAAGGUGUCUCGUUGUCUCAUCCUCUCUGGUGUUUCUGGACCUGUGAUGGCUGGCUGGCCCAGCUCUGCCUCUGGUUGGACAGUCACCACCUUCGAAGGGAACUUCUCUUAAGGCAACAAUGAUGGACAUUGCAGUUGGUCUGGUUCGAGGUCUCUGCCUUCUGUGACACCAUCAAUAUUGGAUCCUCACCAGACUUCUCCUGCUUAUCCUGUUGUUGUUCUAUGUCAUGGAGAUCCUGCAUCUUUGGAUCAGCAGGACUGGCCCAUUCAUGAAUCUCAACCAUUUGCAGGUGAUAUAGAUUUGGGGAUGGGCCAACUCAGAACUCUCCAUCUGGGCCUCCGUGGUAGCUGAGCUCUAGUUAGCACUACCAGGGUGAGCCUUCCAGCACAACUCCAGCUAGACCACCCAGUGCCACCAUUGGCAGGAGACAGGGGGUGCUCUCCUGCCCUCAGGAUAACUCACUCACUUGUACAACUCCAGAGCCAGCACCAUGCUACCCAGUCAAAGCACAGGGUCCACUUUCCCAAGUGCUACAGCCUUUGAGGGACUGGGCCAACUCUCCUUGGAGCCGACUCACUCGUGCUUUCUCCACUAGGGCCAGCCCUACUAUGCUGCCCAGGCAAGGUGCAGGGCCCCCUCUCUCCCAAGUGCUGCAAUCUGGUGAGGGGCAGGGCUAACUCACCCACUCUCAUGACCCCAGGAUCAGCUCUCCUGACUGCCUCCAGUGGUGAGGGGGCAAAUGAAGGGUAUCCCCCCUCCCACUCCCACCCGAUCCAGGCCACCUCAAGGCAGAAGAGUGGCAGGGUCAGCUCUCCCUAGCCUCUGGUUGGCUUGUCCACACCCCUGCCACCAGGGCCAGCUCCACUGUAGUGCCUGGUGAGCUGCAGGGCCUGCUCUCCUGACUGCUGCUGCUGGUGAGAGGUGGGGUCAGCUCUCCAGAGCACAGCAGCCAAUGAGGGACAGGACCAGUUCAGCACAGUCCCUGGACAUGUACAUGGUCCCUGGUGGCUGCCCAGAUCAGGGAUGUCCCCACGUUCUCUAAUGAUAAUAUGACCCAUGACCAUUGCCACUGACCUUUGCCACUGAAUAGCCAUGGACCUAGACAUGGCCCCUCAGGUGGUAGCUUUGACUGGGACCUCACCAUGGCCCCAGGUGGAGGGCCAGUCAUUCACAACAGGCUACUCCUCUCCACCCUGAGUCUCCAGUUCCAUCUCUCUUCACAAUGCUUAAGCUGUUCCACUUCUUUUUCUCUCCCAUCUGUCCACCAUGUACUUGCACAUGUGGUUGCUCCCACUGCAGGAUGGCCACAUGGCUGGCAGACCCCUGAGUGACAUCUUCUGUCUGCACCAUGUGUCCUAGAGGCAAGCAGGUAUCUACUGCCCACCUGUAGGUGCACAGGGGGACAAGUCUGUGGGUCUCAUGGUGGUCCAGAGGUCCCUGUCUGUCUUCCUCCUCCCUAGUUGCGGGGCUCUGUGUAUCUAUGGCCCAACUAUGCCAUGGGGCAGAAGGCAGGUCUGGGGGCAUCUUUCCCUACCUGCAGCACCUGACAUAACAGACAUAGGUCUCUAUCUGUCUUCCUCCUUCCUCAGUGCACUGCCUGGA
Long non-coding RNA from Mus musculus (house mouse), 1797 nucleotides. RefSeq annotates it as predicted gene 14089. NCBI's taxonomy places the organism in Eukaryota, Metazoa, Chordata, Mammalia, Rodentia, Muridae. The record is from RefSeq and is a predicted model, not a curated record. The transcript is spliced from 3 exons.